GGCUGAAAAUAGAGAAAAUGAGAGGGAAAUGGGAUGAAAGAGAGAAGGGGGGGGGUUUAACAGAUCAGGAGGCAGUAAACACUAACAGUGGGUGGAUGUUCUACAGUUGGUGUUACUAUUUCAUUAUCUAAUCAACAGAUGUAGUCUGGUAUUUGGCUGCUUGUCCUGCAUUCAGCAGCAUGAUCACUGGGCGUGGUGGUGCAGUGCCCUCAUUUCACCACAAGUUCUUCUCGUCAGUGCCUGCUACCUUUGAACAGGAAGGGUGGGCCCAGUACAUCAGUGCAUCACUCCAUCAAAAGUGAUCCAGCAUGCACAGUUCCAGAUCCCAGAGGCGUUGGCACACCUGAAUGGAAUUCCGUCAUAACUAAUGUUAUUUUAUUAUAAUUUAUAGCCACAGAAGGCUACUUUAAGAUACCCUGUUGAUUUUUCCACCACUAUUAACAUUAUGGAGCAAUGUUUUUAUGGGUGGGUUCCCUUUUUGUUUGUAUUGUGCACACACACAAGGACGCACAA
This is a long non-coding RNA of Siniperca chuatsi (mandarin fish), 513 nucleotides long. RefSeq lists it as uncharacterized. The record is from RefSeq and is a predicted model, not a curated record. The transcript has 3 exons. Lineage: Eukaryota; Metazoa; Chordata; Actinopteri; Centrarchiformes; Sinipercidae.